UCGUGUUCUGCCACACUCCUGUGCUAGGCUCCCCCAGCUUCCACCUCUGGAAUCCUUUCCAGCUCAUACUGACCACUGGUCUCCUCCCAGCAUCAUCGUUUCAAGAAUCUUCACUUCACUGAAGAAACAGAAGAGGGCAAGCUUGAGCAAACUCCCAUGUCAUAACUGUAAGGAAGGAAAUAUCUAGCUCUGUAGGAAGAGGAACACUAACCCCACAUCAGAUAGAGGGCUCAUUUCCAAAAUACACAAAGAACUCAAGAAAUUGGUCAUCAAAAGAACAAGUAAUCCAAUAAAAAAAAAAUGGAAUACAGACCUAAAGAGAAAACUCUCAUCAGAGGAAUCUAAAACGGCUGAAAGACACUUAAGGAACUGUUCAACAUUGUUAGCCAUCAGAGAAAUGCAAAUCAAAACAACUCUGAGAUUCCAUCUUACACUUGUAAGAAGGGCCAAGAUCAAAAACACUGAUGACAACUUAGGCUGGAGAGGUUAUGGAGAAAAGGGAACACUUCUACAUUGCUGGUGGGAAUGCAAGCUGGUACAGCCCCUUUGGAUGUCAGUGUGAUGAUUUCUCAGAAAAUUAGGAAACAACCUUCCUCAAGACCAAGUCAUACCACUUUUGGGUACAUAUUCAAAGGAUGCUCAAUCGUGCCACAAGGACACGUGCUCAACUAUGUUCAUAGCAGCAUUGUUUGUCAUAGCCAGAAUCUGGAAACAACAUAAAUGCUCCAAUACUGAAGUACGGAUAAGGAAAAUGUUGUACAUUUACACAGUGGAGUAUUACACAGCAGAACAAAAUGACAUCUUGAAUUUUGCAGGAAAAUUGAUAGAGCUAGAAAACAUUAUUUUAAGUGAGAUAACCCAGACACAGAAAGACAAUUAUCACAUGUACUUCCCAUAGGUGGUUUUUAAACAUAAAGAAAAGAAAACCAGCCUACAAGCCACAAUCCCAGAGAACUUAAACAACAAUGAUGACCCUAAGAGAGACAUACAUGGAUCUAAUCUACAUGGGAAAAAGAAAAGACAAGAUCUCCUGAGAAAAUUGGGAGCAUGGGGACCUUGGGGGAGGGUUGAAGGGAGGGAGGGAAAAGCCAGGGAGGGGAGUAGAGAAAAAUGUAGAGUUCAAUAAAAAUCAAUUAAAAAAAAAACAACAAAAGAAAAGGCACAGUUGCAAAAGAGAUCAUCACAUCAAACAUCUCAUCUGAACCGAGCUCUUUUACAAAACCAAAUUAACAGCAUGCAUCCAGAAAACCAAAGAGUAAAUGCUUCAAACCUAACAAAGAGAUGACAAAUAAGUCAGAAAUUUAAACCAUAAACACAUAAAAUAACCAAGAAAGGAGUUGGGACUCAGUAUUGUAAGAAUUGAUAGGACUCAUGAAAGACAAUGAAGAAAAGUCAAGACAAUCUCAGAAAGGAAGAACAAAUUAAAUGUUUGCCAUUGGAUAGUAGAUAGAUGUAAACACAGUAUGGCAGGACUGAAGAAGGAUGAGGGCUAAAGGAAUAGUAAUAAGACAAGAAUAGGAACAGCGUCAAAUCAAAAGUAAUUGGACAGACAGUACAACGGGAAUUCCUGACCACUGCUUUGGAAUAGAUUAAUAUUUCAAACUGAAAUCCAGAAAACAUUUCAAAAUAAAAAUAACAAAGAUUUUAAAUAUGUAAAAAUAAGCAAACAAACUGAAAUUGUCCAUAGGAAAGUUGACCCAGAUAAUUAACUCUGAGAUGCCAUCAAAAUCAUAAGCAAACAAUAACUUUUUAGGACCUUAAAACCCAAAGAAAGACAAUCUAGUCCUCAGGCUCCCGAGAACAGACAUAGAGCAGCAAUGCAGCAGAGACUCUUUGAAGAUGUUCCAGAGCGUCGGAUUGCACUGACACCAAAGCAACAAGGCUUAAGGGUGCUUUCUCAACAUGGGAGGAUCCAGGGUAUGGCAUACUCUCUGUUUUUAAAGUCUUUAUUAAAGAUCCAGAGCAGAACUGGCUGUGGGAGAUCCCUAUGUUGUAAACGUGCAUAUAGUUCUUGUAGAGCCAAGAAUUAAGUAAGGUUGGGCUGGGGUUGAAAGAGUGGUUUGCAAGUGUUUUAGCCAACUUUCAUUAUUGUGGAAAAUCUUGAAAAAUUAAACAACAGUUCAAUGGA
Molecule: long non-coding RNA, 2128 nt
Organism: Alexandromys fortis (reed vole)
Lineage: Eukaryota; Metazoa; Chordata; Mammalia; Rodentia; Cricetidae
Exons: 2
Source: RefSeq, a predicted model, not a curated record